This 460-nucleotide ribosomal RNA is filed under the name uncultured bacterium. RNAcentral describes it as "partial 16S ribosomal RNA". It matches the Rfam family "Bacterial small subunit ribosomal RNA", at positions 338 to 795 of the family's 1533-position model. The record is from RNAcentral.
CCUACGGGAGGCUGCAGUGAGGAAUAUUGGUCAAUGGACGGAAGUCUGAACCAGCCAUGCCGCGUGCAGGAAGACGGCUCUAUGAGUUGUAAACUGCUUUUGUACGAGGGUAAACCUGCAUACGCGUAUUCAGCUGAAAGUACUGUACGAAUAAGGAUCGGCUAACUCCGUGCCAGCAGCCGCGGUAAUACGGAGGAUACAAGCGUUAUCCGGAUUGAUUGGGUUUAAAGGGUGCGUAGGCGGAGUGAUAAGUUAGAGGUGAAAUGGACGAGCUUAACUCGGGAACUGCCUCUAAUACUGUUGAUCUAGAGAGUAGAUGCGGUAGGCGGAAUGUAUGGUGUAGCGGUGAAAUGCUUAGAGAUCAUACAGAACACCGAUUGCGAAGGCAACUUACCAAUCUAUAUCUGACGUUGAGGCACGAAAGCGUGGGGAGCAAACAGGAUUAGAUACCCGUGUAGUC